This is a long non-coding RNA of Leptinotarsa decemlineata (Colorado potato beetle), 191 nucleotides long. Lineage: Eukaryota; Metazoa; Arthropoda; Insecta; Coleoptera; Chrysomelidae. The record is from RefSeq and is a predicted model, not a curated record.
UUGUACCAAGUAUACUUGAACCAGUUGUGGGAUGGAUAGAUAACUUCAAUGGACCAAUGGCGAUGACUGUUGCAGCAGCCAAAGGUAUAAUGAAAAUUAUUUACUGUGAUGAGAAUGUCAGGCAGGAUUAUGUUUAUGUCGAUAAUCUGGUUAAAGCAAUGCUGGUGGCUUCGUGGAAAAUGGCAACCGAG